CCUACGGGCGGCAGCAGUGGGGGAUACUGGACAAUGGGGGGAACCCUGAUCCAGCGACGCCGCGUGAGUGAAGAAGUAUCUCGGUAUGUAACGCUCUAUCAGCAGGGAAGAAGAAAUGAAGGUACCUGAGUAAGCAGCCCCGGCUAACUACGUUCCAGCAGCCGCGGUAAUACGUUGGGGGCAAGCGUUAUUCGGAAUUACUGGGGGUAAAGGGACCGUAGACGGUGAGGUAAGUCUGGAGUGAAAGGCGGGGGCCCAACCCGCGGACUGCCCGGGAAAAUAGUUGGCUGGAGUGUAGGAGAGGUGAGCAGAAUGCCUGGUGUAGCGGUGAAAUGCGUAGAUAUUAGGAGGAACACCAGUGGCGAAGGCGGCUCACUGGACUGUAACUGACGUUGAGGCUCGAAAGCGUGGGGAGCAAACAGGAUUAGAUACCCGUGUAGUC
Molecule: ribosomal RNA, 442 nt
Filed under: uncultured bacterium
Lineage: Bacteria
Description: partial 16S ribosomal RNA
Rfam family: Bacterial small subunit ribosomal RNA
Source: RNAcentral